CCCAUUUUACCAAUCACCUGGUUAAUUGUGCUUGCAACAUAUCCACAUAUGCCAGCAGUUGUUGCUUCGCCUCUGCAGUAGCAGCCUCUCUCUGUGAAGCUUCUCUUAUUCGAGCUUCCGUAUCAGCCUCCAUUAGUCUGAUCUUUUCUUCCUCCCGAACAAUAGCCCCUACCAGUAUUACCACUGCCUGAUCUCUAGCUUGUGCGAUCUCAUAACGCCAUCAAUAUACUUGUUGAAUUGACAAAUCUCUCUGCUUAGAAGCUCUUCACCUAUGUAAGAACUUUAG
Molecule: long non-coding RNA, 286 nt
Filed under: Capsicum annuum
Lineage: Eukaryota; Viridiplantae; Streptophyta; Magnoliopsida; Solanales; Solanaceae
Description: long non-coding RNA (CANN_LNC003302)
Source: RNAcentral